UAGAUUACUUUUUAAGUAUUUUUUAAAGAAAAAAUAAUUUUUAUAAUAGUUUAUUAGUAUUGUAAAAUAAAAUUGAAAUAAAUUGAAAAAUUAAUUUUUUAUAAGAAAAUUUUAUUUAUUGUACCUUUUGUAUCAGGGUGUAUUAAUUAAUAUUUAAUUUUAAUUAAAUUUCUCGAUUUUAAAAGAGUUAAUAAAUUAUGUAAGUUAUUGUAGUAAAACUAUUUAUAAUAAUUUAUUAGAAAUGAAAUGUUAUUCGUUUUUAAAGGUAUCUAGUUUUUUCAGAAUUAAAUUUAAUUUAGUUAUGUUAAUUUAUUAGUUUAAUUUUUAAAAUUAAUAAUAUUAAUAUAAUAAAAUUAUAUGGGAUAAGCUGUAUAAUUUAUUUAAAAAUUAUUAAAUUAAAUUAAUAAAUAUAUGCUUAUAAAUAGCAAUUAUUAAUAAAUAUGUUAUAAUUUAUAUUAUAAAAUUUAUGAUUUAAUAUAUUUUAAAUUUGUAUGAAAAAAUUUUUUAAAAUUAUUUUAAAAAAGUUAUAAUGAUAUAAUUAGUAUAUUUUUUUGUAGUAAUAUAUUAUUUUGAUAGGUUAAAUUAAAGAAUUCGGCAAAAUUUAAUAUUCACCUGUUUAACAAAAACAUGUCUUUUAGAAUUUAAUUUAAAGUCUAACCUGCCCACUGAUUUAUUAAAUGGCCGCAGUAUUCUAACUGUGCAAAGGUAGCAUAAUCAUUAGUCUUUUAAUUGAAGGCUGGAAUGAAUGGUUGAAUGAAAUAUUAACUGUUUCAAUUUAAUUUUAUAUAUAAUUUUAUUUUUUAGUCAAAAAGCUAAAAUUUUUUUAAAAGACGAGAAGACCCUAUAAAUCUUUAUAAUUAUUAUAUUAUUAAUAUUUAGAAAAUUUAAUUUUUAAUAAAUUUAAUUAUUUUAUUGGGGUGAUAUUAAAAUUUAUAAAACUUUUAAUUAAUUUUUUACAUAAAUUAAUGAAUUAUUGAUCCAUUUUUAUGAUUAUAAAAUUAAGUUACUUUAGGGAUAACAGCGUAAUUUUUUUAGAGAGUUCAUAUUGAUAAAAAAGAUUGCGACCUCGAUGUUGGAUUAAGAUAUAGAUUUAGGUGCAGCAGUUUAAAUCUGAAGUCUGUUCGACUUAUAAUUUCUUACAUGAUCUGAGUUCAGACCGGCGUAAGCCAGGUUGGUUUCUAUCUUUAAAAAAUAAAAUAUUUUAGUACGAAAGGACCAAAUAUUUAAAUGAUACAUUUUAAGCAAUGAAUAUUAUUAAU
RNAcentral lists this ribosomal RNA (1259 nucleotides) under Dohrniphora cornuta. RNAcentral describes it as "16S ribosomal RNA". The record is from RNAcentral. Lineage: Eukaryota; Metazoa; Arthropoda; Insecta; Diptera; Phoridae.